AUUUGAGAAGGUCUAUCAGAUGAUGUUUGAUGAGUUAGAAGCAGGGGGUAAAAUAUAUCUUGUUUAUCCGGUAAUUGAACAAUCCGAGCAAUUGCCUCAGCUUCGUGCAGCUUCGGCGGAUCUUGAGACUAUAUCUCAAAAGUUUUCAGGGUACAACUGCGGUCUCUUACAUGGAAAAAUGAAGGGCGAUGAGAAAAGUGAAGCACUAAACCUGUUUAGAUCUGGAGAAACCAAUAUCUUGCUUUCAACGCAAGUUAUUGAGAUUGGGGUUGACAUUCCAGAUGCAUCUAUGAUGGUUGUUAUGAAUGCUGA
RNAcentral lists this unclassified non-coding RNA (312 nucleotides) under Hevea brasiliensis (rubber tree). Lineage: Eukaryota; Viridiplantae; Streptophyta; Magnoliopsida; Malpighiales; Euphorbiaceae. The record is from RNAcentral.